Molecule: RNA transcript, 2142 nt
Organism: Chenopodium quinoa (quinoa)
Lineage: Eukaryota; Viridiplantae; Streptophyta; Magnoliopsida; Caryophyllales; Amaranthaceae
Exons: 2
Source: RefSeq, a predicted model, not a curated record
CACUCUAGCUCUAGAGGACACAACAAAAAUGGACCAUUUUGCCCUCUGGGAGGAUUGGAGAACUUUGUUUCCCAUGAUCCCACCGGAAAUCCUCAAGUCUGAUAAUUUUGUUACCCCCACCUUCCUAAAUUAGAAUAUGAAAGUCAUAAUUUGGAAUGUCUGUGGUGCUUCCAGAGACGAUCUUAUCCCUCAUGCCUGGGAUAUAAUCGCGACUCACAAACCGAGUAUUUUUAUUAUACUAGAGGCUAAAAGCAAUGGCAAUCGAGCUGCUAAAGUCAAUAAGCUUUUAGGCUUCGAUGGCCUUAGGUUCGUUGAACCAAACCGUACUAAAGGUUGGAUUUGGUUAAUGUACAAACUCUCGGUUGAUCUUAUUAUUUGUGGCACGAAACAAAGCAAUUAAUUUCAUGCUUUGUUUAAAUUCAAACCAAAUAACCAUGAAGUUUUGCUUACGGGAAUUCACGCUCCUUCUUCUCCUUCUGAGAGACAUCGUCUUUGGAAGGAGAUGCGUGAUGACUUACCCCCUGAUGACACACCAUGGUUGGUUCUUGGUGACCUUAAUGAGGUCAUGUUUCCUAAUGAAAAAAUGGGAGGUUGUUCUUUCUGCCAAUCUCAGGCUAAUGACCUUAGAAUGCUAGUUGAUGCGGCAUGUCUAGUUGAUUUGGGAUUUAAUGGAAAUCCCUAUACUUGGCAUAAUGCGAGAGAAGGGUGCGCUAAUAUAAGGGAGAGACUUGAUCGAGCUUUGGCGAACCCGAUCUGGCUCAAUACCUUUCUAAACACUCAGUUCUCACGGGUGGAUAAGGAUGCUCCCUCAUUUAGCAGCAUGCAGAACUUGGGCACCUCCCCAAAGGGUAUUUUAAAGUCAACACAGAUGGAUCCUGGUUGGCCACAGACAAUGCAGGUGCUGGAGGUAUAAUAAGAUGUGACAAGGGAAAGUGGCAGCUGGGAUUUACAACCAAAAUCAAGACUCUGGGAGCCGAACUAAUUGCAAUCAGGGAAGGUCUUGCUCUUGCUUGGGAUAGACAAAUCAAAUUUGCCAUACCGAUGCUCAAGCCCUGUGUUAUAUGCUUGAGAACCCAAAAGCAUACAUGGACCAUCAGCUUGCAGUAAUUACAAAAGAUGUGGCUGAUCUUCUGCAAAGGCAAUGGUCUAUCACUCUUCUUCAUGUCAAAAGAUCAGCAAACAAGAUUGCACACGGAUUAGCUUCCAUUGGCAAGGAACAAUCAGAUGAUGGAGUGGUUUUAUAUUACACUACUCUUCCCCACCAGCCUUCACUGACAUCUAUAUAAAGGAGUUGAGGUUUUGUCUCGACAUGGCAACUGCAGAAUGAUCCCUUCUAAAGAAUGUUGCUUCAAGUCACAAACUAAGUACCAUUUUCUCACUAAUGCUCUUCUUAGUUUUUCUAGUUUUCCUAGUACUUUUUACUUAAUUUGCUUCAUGUAUUGGCUUCUAAUAGGGACUAGAUUACAGGUCUUGGACUUCAUGCUUGCUAUUUUUCUAACUGUAAGCAUCAUGGAGUUCCAUUUUGUUAGCAUCAAUCUGAUGCAUUUUUCUGGGUGUUUUUUAAGCACCAUAAUGUAAUAUAAGUUCCUUUUCGGUUAAAAAAAAAAAAAAAAAAAAACUAUUACAAAGACUACUCUAAAUCUCUAUUCUCUAACUAUUAGCUCAUUUAGGCGCAUAUGGCAUAUUCGUAUAAGCAUGUUACUGCAGAAGAUUAUAUUAAUGUACACUUCUAUUCCAUGAUCCACCAAGCUUAUAAAGCUUAGUCUAGUGGUAAGGAUUGUAUCUUCCAACCUUGAGGUUGGGGAUCCCCACUAAUGACACUUUGAGGGUGGGAAUCCCUUAACUGGCCUUCCCCCUCACUCUCAAAAUGUCUAUUAUCCUAAAUCAAAUUAACAAUUUAUAUUCCUAAUCUAACUCUAUCAAGUUUACACUAGAUAGCGGCAAGCUAGGGUCGAACCACAAGGAAACGGGAUAUUGCACAAUCAAAGUGGAAUUAAGAAUCUAUUGCAAGUAACAAGGGGUAUUUUGGUUUGUUUUUGUGAAUUUCUAAGAUUAAACUAUCUACCAAAAAGAUUAAAACAAGCAAAAUAAAGAAGUUCAAACUAGAAACACUAAAAUAAAAAUGGAAAACAAGAUUUUAAG